ACCGAUAGCGAACAAGUUCCGUGAGGGAAAGUUGAAAAGAACUUUGAAGAGAGAGUUCAAGAGUACGUGAAACCGUUCAGGGGUAAACCUGAGAAACCCGAAAGGUCGAAUGGGGAGAUUCAUUCGCGAACCGAAUCGUCGGCGUGGCGUGUCGGUGUGACGGUGGCGUUCGCGCCGUCCGCACACUUCGCGUUACGAGCCGAUUUCGGACGUGUGCACUUCUCCCCUAGUAGGACGUCGCGAUCCGUUGGGCGUCGGUCUACGGUCCGCAGUGAAGCCCGCGAGCAAGUUUCGACUGCUCUCGGACACGCGGUUAUCCGACCGGCUCGCUCGACGGUUUACAGAUGGCGGGAGGCCGCGACUUCAGUUCGCGUCCGGCCCGCGGCAAGCUCGCUAGCUGUGUUGGCGAUCGGACCUAGCGCCGAUCCUGGCCGCUGGCGGCUGUUCGCCGCGGAGUUCUCGGACAGACCUCUUUGAAACGCCGAUCGGCGACGCUAUAGCUUUGGGUACUUUCAGGACCCGUCUUGAAACACGGACCAAGGAGUCUAGCGUGUGCGCGAGUCAUUGGGAUAACACUAAACCUAAAGGCGUAAUGAAAGUAAAAGUCCGUCUUGCACGGACAGAGGGAAGACGGUCGAUCUUUAACGAGAUCGUCCCGCACUCCCGGGGCGUCUCGUUCUCAUUGCGAGAGGAGGCGCACCAAGAGCGUACACGCUGGGACCCGAAAGAUGGUGAACUAUGCCUGGUCAGGACGAAGUCAGGGGAAACCCUGAUGGAGGUCCGUAGCGAUUCUGACGUGCAAAUCGAUCGUCGGAACUGGGUAUAGGGGCGAAAGACCAAUCGAACCAUCUAGUAGCUGGUUCCCUCCGAAGUUUCCCUCAGGAUAGCUGGCGCUCGUCGCGUACGAGUCUCAUCCGGUAAAGCGAAUGAUUAGAGGCAUUGGGGUCGAAACGACCUCAACCUAUUCUCAAACUUUAAAUGGGUGAGAUCUCCGGCUUGCUCGAAUGUGAAGCCGCGAGACUACGGAUCAGAGUGCCAAGUGGGCCAUUUUUGGUAAGCAGAACUGGCGCUGUGGGAUGAACCAAACGCCGAGUUAAAGCGCCUAAAUCGACGCUUAUGGGAUACCAUGAAAGGCGUUGCUAACUUAWGACAGCAGGACGGUGGCCAUGGAAGUCGGAAUCCGCCAAGGAGUGUGUAACAACUCACCUGCCGAAGUUACUAGCCCUGAAAAUGGAUGGCGCUGAAGCGUCGUGCUUAUACUCGGCCGUCAGAGGCAUGUGCGGUCGCGCCUGGCGCGGCCAUGAAGCCCUGAUGAGUAGGAGGGUCGCGAAGGUGCGCGCAGAAGGGCUGGCCGUGGGGCCGUCUGGAGCCGCCUUCGGUGCAGAUCUUGGUGGUAGUAGCAAAUACUCCAGCGAGGCCCUGGAGAGCUGAGGUGGAGAAGGGUUUCGUGUGAACAGCCGUUGCACACGAGUCAGUCGAUCCUAAGCCCUAGGCGAAAGCCGAUGUUGAUGUGGCGUUGUUAAUCGCUUAUGAUACCUGCCGAAGUGCGUGUCGAACGGACGUUUGAAGGUACGUCGUCGCCGCCUGCGUUUUGUGCGUGGUAAAGCGUCAAGCACGCCCGUCGGGCGAAAGGGAAUCCGGUUCCUAUUCCGGAACCCGGCAGCGGAACCGUCAUUAAAUCGGGCCCUCGCAAGAGAGUUCGUCGGGGCAACCCAAAAGGACCCGGAGACGCCGUCGAGAGAUCCGGGAAGAGUUUUCUUUUCUGCAUGAGCGUUCGAGUUCCAUGGAAUCCUCUAGCAGGGAGAUAUGGUUUGGAACGCGAAGAGCACCGCAUUUGCGGCGGUGUCCGGAUCUUCUCCUCGGACCUUGAAAAUCCGGGAGAGGGCCACGUGUAAGCGUCGCGCCGGCUCGUACCCAUAUCCGCAGC
This 1927-nucleotide ribosomal RNA is filed under the name Platynaspis sp. JAR-2007. RNAcentral describes it as "eukaryotic LSU rRNA". It matches the Rfam family "Eukaryotic large subunit ribosomal RNA", at positions 333 to 1861 of the family's 3401-position model. Lineage: Eukaryota; Metazoa; Arthropoda; Insecta; Coleoptera; Coccinellidae. The record is from RNAcentral.